AUGAGGUGCUGGAGGAGCCCACCGGCGGCAUCAGCGACACGCGAGAGCUCGGCGGCGAGCGACGACUUCGGCACCAUGCAUGUACGAACGAUAACUACAGGACGGGCAGGCAGUGGUGGUGGAGCGGUUGUACGACCACAGCUGCUGGCACGUGCAGCAGUUCAUGAACUAGGCGACGAUCCUGUCGCAGCUACACCACCUGAACCUCGUCAUCUUCUAAGGAUCCUGUCGCAGCUGCACCAUCUGAACCUCGUCAUCUUCCACGGCUGCACGUCCAGACGAAGCCAUGUGCUGCUGCUGGUGUACGAGUAG
This 312-nucleotide ribosomal RNA is filed under the name Triticum aestivum (bread wheat). Its description in RNAcentral is "partial small subunit ribosomal RNA". The record is from RNAcentral. Lineage: Eukaryota; Viridiplantae; Streptophyta; Magnoliopsida; Poales; Poaceae.